UCCGUAGAUGGCGCUUGCUCGAUUACAGACUUCCGGCGCUCAGGAACGCGUGAUCCGCACAGAGACGUUCACGCACGCACAGAGAGACGUCGCAGGCGUGUGCCUCACAUAAUGCGGGUCGCCGCGACUGUCUUUCACAUAUCCUUUUUUCUGGAUGUGCCCUUGCGUGCGCGUGCGUGCUAUGCUUUUUGUUGCGUGGCGACAUGCAGCGAGGCCACAGGUGUACCGACCAGUUCCUCCUUACCCGACGUCUGCGCCGACUUUUCGCUCGUGUCCACGAACGCCAAUGGCUGCUGCAUCACCACCAGAGUGAUGCGUCUCUGUCCUGGUUUCACGCUUCAUCGCGUCCAUUACAGGCAUUGCAUCACCUUCGCUCACUACAAACAAACCUGUCGAAACUUGCCUGGGCACCGGCGUCCUUCGCCGAAGAGGCUGACGGUGACUCUCCGCAAACGAAACUAGAAGAUCGGCCCCGCGAUCGCGCACCACCGCAUCCCGCGGCACCACCGGGAGACCCGCCUCCGUUUGCUCACCCCGCCGCGCCGCACCUGUCCUUUCUCAUGAAUGCCUCCUUUCUGCAUGAAACCUGCCUUUUCUUGCUGCUCCUGCGCAACCCGCUGCCAAGUAGUUCACUGGCUCGGCUGAGCUCCCUGUCGGAGCGGGAGCCUCUGCAGGUUCACAGUCACGGCACUGUAGCCGCGGAGACAACGCACUACAUUUUGCAGAACGGUCUCUGGUGUUCGUGUUUGCCGCAUUCUGUCGAGGCAACGUGGCUCAGGGCAGCCACCCCCGCCAUCGACGUUCAACUGGAGCUCGGUUCCAGCACAGACCCCACUACCAGGCACGAUCAAGCACCUGAUGAUAGCUUAGAUGAGCGCGGCGACGCUCGCGAGGCAGCAUUGGCACGUCUCUGCAGCCACGACUACCUCGAGCAUCUCAUCUGGCCGACGCACGCGGCAGGGGCCGUGAGGCCUGAGCUUGCUGCGGACUGCGUGUGGGUUGAUGUGUCAAGCGUGCGCUCGCACGCUCUUCACUCCUACAACGACGCCUUCUGGGUACCCUUCAGCACAAGUCACAGCUUCGCCGCGUGGCACCGCGCGUCACUGUGUGCAACGCUAGACGGCCAGCACGCUGCCGCCAGUGUGGAGGCGUGGAGGUGGACCGGUGACCUGUACAUAUGCGGCUGAUUGCCAAAAAGAAAACCUGACGCACGGCGCUGCGCGGUUGUGUUGGCAUUCGACUUGCCGCUCAGUUCCCACCGCUUCCUCUUCGCCCUCUUCACUUGCCUUACCUUCCGUAUCUUAGCGGAGAAGGUGGUGGUGAUUGUACGCUCUCUCGGUGUACAUCUUCCCACUUCCGCGUAUCCGAGAUGUGCGGCCAAGACCCCGUUUUCUCAGCCACGCACUCCCUGCGUUGCUAUUCGCUUCUUGCCUCCUGCUGUACCGUGUGUGUUCUCUCUGCUUCGGCUGCCUUCAGCGGCUUCUGCUCUGCACUUUGGAAACGAUUGCCACACAAAACAGCACUGCUCCGCGAAGGCCAGCGGGUUCUCUCCUUCCGCGCGCGCGCUUCACAACCGCAGCGAACAUGCAGCUGCUCGCGUGCGUCUCUCUGCUACAUCAAGUGAGAGAGCAGUCGCUGCGGCGGCCCUCGCGGCGAUCUCUGCGCUGCUUGCGUCCCGCCCAUUCUCCGCUGCUGUUGCGGUCAUGCAGUUGCCAUAUUGUCUCCUUCCUCGUCUCUGUCGCAUCCCCGCAG
RNAcentral lists this unclassified non-coding RNA (1752 nucleotides) under Leishmania donovani. RNAcentral's name for it is "gene:LdHU3.30.2710(CDS-product:hypothetical_prote in_conserved)". Lineage: Eukaryota; Euglenozoa; Kinetoplastea; Trypanosomatida; Trypanosomatidae. The record is from RNAcentral.